Long non-coding RNA from Trifolium pratense (red clover), 368 nucleotides. RefSeq lists it as uncharacterized. NCBI's taxonomy places the organism in Eukaryota, Viridiplantae, Streptophyta, Magnoliopsida, Fabales, Fabaceae. The transcript is spliced from 2 exons. The record is from RefSeq and is a predicted model, not a curated record.
ACACUGCGAAUCGCAAGACGAUAUGGCUUGGAGACUCAAUGGUUGCAUCUGUAUUGGAAUCGACAUCUUAGGGUUCACAAUAUCAAUAAUCCUUUCUCAAUAUGUAUUGUGUUUAAGAGUGUAUAACGUUGAUCCGCCAUUGCAUCUUUUGCUUGAAGCAACUUCAGUGAUGGUGGAAAUAAGGUGUGAUUCUGCUGGUUCCUUUUCCUCAGCAAUUUGAGCAAUGAUAUAGUAUCUUUACUGCCUUGUAACUUAUUGAUCUACGAAAUUCCCAGAGUAAGUUUCUUUUAUGAUGGUUACAUGAAUUGUGAUAAUGCAAGUGAGUGGACCUUGUACAUUUGAUGUGAGCCAUCAAUUAUUUUCUCUUA